UCUUUCGUAGUAUAGUGGUCAGUAUGCAAGCUUGUCAUGUUUCUAAGAAUAGAACAGCACUCGCUUGAGACCCGGGUUCAAUUCCCGGCGAGAGAG
This is a non-coding RNA of Cryphonectria parasitica EP155, 96 nucleotides long. The record is from the annotation of a RefSeq genome assembly. Lineage: Eukaryota; Fungi; Ascomycota; Sordariomycetes; Diaporthales; Cryphonectriaceae.